UACUUUAAACUGGUUUGGGAAAACCAAAUAUAUUAUAUAUUUUGCUUUGUUCAAAAUAGGGUUUUCUAAUAAAUUAUGUUUUUAUCAGAUAUGACAGAAUCUUUUUUAAAAUCUCUUCAAUAUGCUUUUAUUGCUUUUGAGAGGUUUUGUUACUUUGAGUAAAAUUAAGUGUUCAUAACAGACGGGUAGUCAUGAUUGAGUUCAUUGUGU
Molecule: ribosomal RNA, 210 nt
Filed under: Plasmodium falciparum (malaria parasite P. falciparum)
Lineage: Eukaryota; Apicomplexa; Aconoidasida; Haemosporida; Plasmodiidae
Description: partial 18S ribosomal RNA
Source: RNAcentral